Long non-coding RNA from Ipomoea nil (Japanese morning glory), 722 nucleotides. RefSeq lists it as uncharacterized. NCBI's taxonomy places the organism in Eukaryota, Viridiplantae, Streptophyta, Magnoliopsida, Solanales, Convolvulaceae. The transcript has 7 exons. The record is from RefSeq and is a predicted model, not a curated record.
AGGCAGCAAAAACAGAAAAUUCCUCUUGAUUUUCUCAGGGGUGAUAAGUUUCAAGAAGCAGCAGAGAACUAUAUUAAACCUCUCAUGACUAAAGGCUAUAUGGGGUUAGGAUGAUUCCUAUGUAUUCAUUGGCAACUUGCAAAGGGGAGUUGACAUGAUUUCAAUAGACAAAAGAGAAUUGUUUCGAAAUUACAAAGUGUACACAUGCCUGCUAUCCAAUGGCGCUUUGAUGCACACCAGUAUGAGGUCGGGAUGCUUGCUGGUGCUACCAUCGGUGGUCAGGUCUUUGCAACCUAGGGCCUUUGCAGAAACCUUAUGUGGUUCACCACUAUACGGUGGAUGCCAAACUUGCCUCCAUCUUUGCUUGGACACGAGGACUUGCUCACAGGGCUAAGUUGGACAACAACGAUAGACUCUUGGAUUUCACCGAGAAGCUUGAAGCAGCUUGCAUUGGUGCCGUGGAGUCUGGAAAGAUGACCAAGGAUCUUGCACUUAUCAUCCAUGGGUCAAAGCUUUCAAGGGACACAUAUCUAAACACUUGAAGAAUUCAUUGACGCUGUGGCAGAUGAACUGAAAGCUAAACUGUUGAAAGCCAAGGCAUAAUUGAUAAAUGCUUGGAUGCAGCAAUAGAAAUGACAUUGUAUUUGACAGAGAACAGAAAACAGAAAUAACACCUCGCGACAAGAGUAUUGAUUUCUUUUAUACAAAUAAUCAUGAUCUGU